RNAcentral lists this ribosomal RNA (245 nucleotides) under uncultured bacterium. Its description in RNAcentral is "partial 16S ribosomal RNA". It matches the Rfam family "Bacterial small subunit ribosomal RNA", at positions 524 to 768 of the family's 1533-position model. The record is from RNAcentral.
UACGGGGGGUGCAAGCGUUGUUCGGAAUCAUUGGGCGUAAAGCGCGUGUAGGCGGCUUGACAAGUCAGAUGUGAAAUCCCUGGGCUUAACCCAGGAAGUGCAUUUGAAACUGUCUGGCUGGAGUAAGGGAGAGGAAAGUGGAAUUCCUGGUGUAGAGGUGAAAUUCGUAGAUAUCAGGAGGAACACCGGUGGCGAAGGCGACUUUCUGGCCCUAUACUGACGCUGAGACGCGAAAGCGUGGGUAG